AGCCUUUGUGUUGCCAGUUCACUUUUGAAAACUAAUGAAUGUGGUGUCAAAAAAGGUGGAAGCUUUACUGCCUUUUCCUGCCCUUGAAUUUGAAUUUGAAUUUGAAUAUUGUUGGUGUAGGAGCUGCGUGAAGUAAGAGUU
This is a small nucleolar RNA of Suricata suricatta (meerkat), 141 nucleotides long. NCBI's taxonomy places the organism in Eukaryota, Metazoa, Chordata, Mammalia, Carnivora, Herpestidae. The record is from Ensembl.